This 663-nucleotide ribosomal RNA is filed under the name uncultured fungus. RNAcentral describes it as "eukaryotic LSU rRNA". It matches the Rfam family "Eukaryotic large subunit ribosomal RNA", at positions 24 to 664 of the family's 3401-position model. Lineage: Eukaryota; Fungi. The record is from RNAcentral.
CCCGCUGAACUUAAGCAUAUCAAUAAGCGGAGGAAAAGAAACUAACAAGGAUUCCCCUGGUAACUGCGAGUGAAGCGGGAAAAGCUCAAAUUUAAAAUCUGGGGGUCCCUGUGGCCCUCCGAGUUGUAAUCUAGAGAAGUGCUAUCCGCGCUGGACCGUGUACAAGUCUCCUGGAACGGAGCGUCAUAGAGGGUGAGAAUCCCGUCUUUGACACGGACUACCAGGGCUUAUGUGAUGUGCUCUCAAAGAGUCGAGUUGUUUGGGAAUGCAGCUCUAAAUGGGUGGUAAAUUCCAUCUAAAGCUAAAUAUUGGCGAGAGACCGAUAGCGAACAAGUACCGUGAGGGAAAGAUGAAAAGAACUUUGGAAAGAGAGUUAAACAGUACGUGAAAUUGUUGAAAGGGAAACGCUUGAAGUCAGUCGCGUUGCCCAGAAAUCAACCUUGCUUUUGCUUGGUGUACUUUCUGGUUAACGGGUCAGCAUCAAUUUUGACCGGUGGAUAAAGGUCAGGGGAAUGUGGCAUCUUCGGAUGUGUUAUAGCCCUUAGUUGCAUACAUCGAUUGGGAUUGAGGAACUCAGCGCGCCUUUAUGGUCGAGGCUUUUGCCUACGCAACGCGCUUAGGAUGCUGGCAUAAUGGCUUUAAGCGACCCGUCUUGAAACACGG